AGUGAACGCUGGCGGUAGGCCUAACACAUGCAAGUCGAACGGCAGCACAGUAAGAGCUUGCUCUUACGGGUGGCGAGUGGCGGACGGGUGAGGAAUGCAUCGGAAUCUACUUUUUCGUGGGGGAUAACGUAGGGAAACUUACGCUAAUACCGCAUACGACAUACGGGUGAAAGCAGGGGAUCUUCGGACCUUGCGCGAUUGAAUGAGCCGAUGUCGGAUUAGCUAGUUGGCGGGGUAAAGGCGCACCAAGGCGACGAUCCGUAGCUGGUCUGAGAGGAUGAUCAGCCACACUAGAACUGAGACACGGUCCAGACUCCUACGGGAGGCAGCAGUGGGGAAUAUUGGACAAUGGGCGCAAGCCUGAUCCAGCCAUACCGCGUGGGUGAAGAAGGCCUUCGGGUUGUAAAGCCCUUUUGUUGGGAAAGAAAAGCAGCAGGUUAAUACCCCGCUGUUCUGACGGUACCCAAAGAAUAAGCACCGGCUAACUUCGUG
Molecule: ribosomal RNA, 492 nt
Filed under: uncultured bacterium
Lineage: Bacteria
Description: partial 16S ribosomal RNA
Rfam family: Bacterial small subunit ribosomal RNA
Source: RNAcentral